This 501-nucleotide ribosomal RNA is filed under the name Disconectes sp. 1 SB-2021a. RNAcentral's name for it is "partial 16S ribosomal RNA". It matches the Rfam family "Archaeal large subunit ribosomal RNA", at positions 1954 to 2666 of the family's 2987-position model. The record is from RNAcentral. Lineage: Eukaryota; Metazoa; Arthropoda; Malacostraca; Isopoda; Munnopsidae.
CUCUUUUUUAAUUAGUAAAAAGUAGUCUCUGCUCAGUGAAAAUUUAAAUAGCCGCGGUAUUUUGACCGUGCUAAGGUAGCAUAGUAAUUUGUUUCAUAACUGGAAACUGGAAUGAAGGAGUUGACGAAAUUGAGGCUUUCUUAAAAAAUUUUUUGGAAGUUGAUAUUUGCUUCAAAAAGAGCAGGUGUGUUAAAGGGACGAUAAGACCCUAUAAAACUUUAUUAUAGGCGAGUUUUAUUCUUUAGAGCUAAAAAAAUUUUACUUUAAUUAAGCUGGGGCGGUACUUAUUAUUUACUCAAAAAGAAAUAGAACAGAAAUUUUUGGGGAGAAGGAUCUUUUGUAAAAGUAUAGAGAGAUAGAAUAAGUUACUUUAGGGAUAACAGCACAAUUUUUUUUUAUAGGCCUUAUAGAAGAGAAAGACUUGUGACCUCGAUGUUGAAUUUGAGGGUCUCUUUUCAAGCAGAAAUGAAACAGGGAAGUCUGUUCGACUUUUACACCCUC